GCAUGCUGAAGGGGAGGGCAGACGGGUGGUGAGAGGUCAGAGGCCAACACACAGUCUGUCCCCCGAAAUCCGCGUGGUGGGCCAAGACUGCUGACACACCCUUGUACAGGGGACGAGCUGAAGAUCAGAGAGGCUGAGUGGCCUGUCCCACGUCACACAGCCAAUACAAGAGCAGAGUCCAGGUUCUGGCUACUACUCUGACCGAGGACAUGCUCUCUGGCUGCUGAGGACAGCUUCCCUACGGGCUGUGUCACCCAGGCCCUGAGGCCAUCCCUGGGCUCCUGGCAGGGUCUGGCCUACGGAGGCAAGCGAAGCUGGGAUAUUUACCCCCGCUCGCCUCCCUCCCUCCCUGCCUCUUCCGCUGGAGGCCCCAGCUGCUCUCCCAGGACCUUCCGCCCCACUCCAGUUUGCUCCGUUUGGACUCUGGAAGUAGGCAGCGCCUGGGGUGGCAAUGGCCCCCCACUGCAGCCAGCCCCGGGGUGUCCCUAUCCCCUGGCGCCCCCCACAGCUGCCUCAUGCUUGUAAAGGGCUCCUCCUCCAACCCUUUCUUGGGCUCCAGUGGAAGGUUCCACGCUUCCCGAAGGACGAGGGUAUGGAAAGGGACCUCAUCGUGUAGCUCAGAUCAGGUCUCGUGAAACACUGCUCUGCUCCCGAACUUCCUCUUAACUGCAAGACCCUCUCGCCCACUGGCCAGAAACACUGAGUUUCCACAAGGACCAAUGGGAGUGGUUCCUUGUCCUCAGCCCGGGCACGGCCUCUGGCCAGCAGACCAUCAGGUCUGACAGUGGGCCUGUCAGGAUGGCGGCCUGGUGCCACUGCUCACGUAUGUCAGCCGUGGCGUGACCUUUGGCCGUGGCUUUAUGGAUGGGUGAAGUCCUCUCGCUGCACCUCAGACCCGAAGCCCCACCUGGUCUGCUUUCCCAGCCAGCUGCAGUCGAAGAGCUGCUGGCUUGAACUCGGGUGGCUCAAACCAGCUCACACCCCGCUCUGCUGAAACUCAGAGUACAAUCUGAAAUGCCUGUCCGCCAAAUGCAAGGGUCAUGCCUAUCCUGGAACCUCCCGUUUCUAGAAAGCACCAAAUGCUCACAGUGAUCAAGAGCUCAGGUAUCUCUUCUCUCAUGGCUGAGACAUUGCCCAAACCUGACAGCCCCAGUGGGGAAAUUAAUGGGCUCUCAGGGCCACCCCAUGAUGACGCGAUGCCCAUGUGUGGUCUCCAGGGUCAGCCACCUGGGUCCCGGUCCCCAUUCCGGGUACAUCCCUGGCCAUGGAGCUCUUGGCAAGUGACUUCUAGGGGUCUCUGUGCCUCAGUGAGCUCAUCUCUUAUCCGAGGAGCUCUGGGGUGGCGACCGAGGUGGGGACAUGCAUGAAGUUCCUCUGCACGUGAGGGGCGCAAGCCUUACCUCCUCAAUAUUCCGAAUCCAGUUCCGGAUGUUGUCAAAGGAUUUCUCGUUGGUGAUGUCAUAGACCAGCAUGAUGCCCUGGGCGGGAAGGGAGACAAACGUGUGCUCUGGACAAGCUGCGAGCUGAGGGGGAGGCCCCAGCAAGGUGGGGUGGCCGAGACCCCAGCAAAACGCCCCUCCUGCCAACUCCCUCCACUCCACCCCUGGGGCCCUUCCUUCUGCUGGACUCCAGGACCGGCUCCUCCCUGGUCGCCCAGGCUCUAGUCCUGCCCACCCCGCCACCAAGGUGACCCUUCACCCUGCAGACCAGACCUCACCACACUCGUGCUUGCAGACAAGCCUUGCGGGCUCCCCAGCACCAGCAGGGCACAUGUGCCCAUGGCCUGGCAGCUCUCGGCGUCCCACCUGCCUCCCAGUCCCAUGUUCCAUGGCCCCAGGGCCCACAGUGCUCCCCUUCACUCAGCCCGCCCUGCCUGAGUCUCCUCCGAGCACCUACUGCGCACCGCGUUCUAUGGUAGGGUCUCGUUGAAGCCUCACAGCCCUCACAGGUGGGUCCGGCUGUCCCCACUCUGCAGACGAGGACCCAGAGGUGUGGGAUGGCCAGGCCCGCCUCCCUUCCCGUGAGAGAGUAAAGGGCGUAACUGGGGUCUGAACCCUGGAUGGCCUGAUCCUGACACUCUUGUGUGUUCCAAUGAGUCCACCCACGGGGCCAGCUUGGAGCGUGGGGCUGGGCGGCACUGAGGCCCCUGAGGGUCCGUUACCCACGUGUGAGCAGGUGGGAGACAGCGCAGGAGUCCCUAAAGAGCUGCAGAGUGAACCCACCUCCACCUGGGCCCGUGACCUUGCCGCCACUGCGAAGGACACGUGUCCCUGUUUGAUACAGAGCAAACUGAGGCCCACAAAAGCACCCUUAAAGAUUCAAGCCCAGGAAAGACUGACCCUGAACAAGUUGGUCACACCAGCUCCCAUUAGGAACCUCCCUGGGCCCUCAUCAGGACCAAGUAACGCCGAGGGCCACCUUCCAGGCACAGGGCCCCAGCUGUCCUGGGCCGGCCUGGCUUACUCCAUGUGCUCAGGCCACCCCCUCCCGACGGCCCGGCCCUGCAUCCGAGACCGCUGGUGCCGGCCAAGACGUCCCUGAGGCUGCCCGAGUCUGCAGAGUGAGAACGUGGGCUGCGGGCACUGGGUGGAGAGCGGCGAGGACGUGUGGUAAGACCUCAGGGACGGGAAAGGAGAGCCCCUGUAAUUCCGAAGCCCCGCCGUGAACCCAAGGAGACACGCAGGGGCCUCGCAGCCUGCCACAACUGAGGCCCCGGCCAGGACCCCUCCGGAAGGCCAUCUGGGGGCCCCCUCUCAGGGGUCUCUUGGGGAGACUGAACGGAGACCACCUGCAGGAUAACCAGGAGCUUGUAGAGGGGCCGUGCUGUCGGCCACUCCCCAGCCAAGGCCAGCUCGAGUACGAGAUCCCGGUGCGCAGACUCCCUAGGUCAAGCACCGCGGAGGCCUCUGGCCGUCAGGGGGCAAGAAACGCCACGAGGUCAUGAGAACUUUCCUCCCUUUUAUCCAGGGACUGGCCCCUCGGGUGGCCCAGGGCUCUGGCCACCACCAGCAAGUUGACACCCCACGCUCCAGAUUCCAAGGUGUCAGAUAUUCACCACCCGAGGGGUGGGGGUGGUGGGUGGAGCUAUCAGGAGCGAGAAGCGCCGAGAAAACACGGGAUCACCCUAUUCCAGGUCCUCCGUGGAAACUCUCCUCGGGGCCCCAAGCGACCACGUUCCCAGCCCCCACUGGGCACGGCUGCCCCUAUCAGCUUGUAAGCUCCCAACGGGACAACGGACACCCAAUGUCCCCAAAUUUGGGACCCAAGAGUCUAGUACCAUGCAGGGAGAGGGCGAUGGCUGCGAUGGGGGCAAUGUUCUCUGAGCUAUCCGGUAAGGUCACCCCUGGCCACACGUGGCUCUGCAGUGCCUAAAAGGUGCGACCAAGGGGCCGGAUUUCUUACUUGCGUCAAUUUACGCUCAAAGAGCCACAUGUGGUCGCUGGCUUUAUAUAUGGGUUCUCUAAGGCUAUAUAUAUCCAAUCUAGGACUGCAAGCCACAAACACCCUGGCUCAGGCCAGCGUCAUCAAGGGCUGGCUGAGGAUGUGGGCACUGGAGACAGCCAAUCGGCACUGGCCCAGUCAUUUCCCCUCUGCGUGAACUGAAGCAGGACAUGGAACCGUGCUAGGCCUUAGGUCCCCUGUCAGUGAAACGUGGACAACCGUGGCACCCAUGCUCCGCUGUUAAUGGCCAAGACCUGGGCCCAGCAGCUGGCACACGAAAGGCCUCAGAGAAUGGGGGCGGUGGUGGGGGGCUAUUUCAGCCCAGAUGGGGAGGGGGCCUACCUGAGGCCACACAGCAGAAGCUCCCCCAGGACCCCGGUUCCCCGAGGCCCCUGCCCCACCAGAGCACAGCCAGGUGGGAAGAAAAUUAGUAAAUAAAUUUUAAUGAGGAGUGCUAAGGUUGCAAUGCACACGAUUGAGUUUCUGUUAUGUUUCAAAAGCUAUGUGGGAUACUCUAAAUACUUAAUGCCUCCGUUCAUUUCUGCCGUCCACCGGUAUUUCCUGAAUACCCACCACAUACCCAGCGUGGUCCCAGGCACGGGGCAUACGGCAGUGACUGAGACGUGGCCCUGCCCUCACAGAGCUUGUGGUCUUGCAGAGGAAACAGGCAUGUAUGCGGUCACAUGACGGGGUGUGCACCGGGCGCCAGAAACGGGGAGACGGCCAUCCGCCCUCGCGGCUGCCCGAAACGGAGUCCUGUUCUCUGUUCCACUUUCCAAGUAAGGAGAUGCAGCUCAGAGGGUGACCCAGGGUGCUGAGCCAGGGGCCAGGGCUCUGCCUCCCGCUCCCCCCAGACCCUGAGCGCUCCGCUGUGUGCACACCUCACAUGAGCUCGACCCACUCGGAGGGCAGGAACCCGGCCUAUUCCGGGUCCUCCUCCGCAUCUAGCUCAGGCCUGGCCUAGAGAAGGUGCUCCGUAAAAGCACCUGAGGGAUAAGGAACGAGUCUUCCUGUGAUAGCACCCUGCCUCUGGCCCGGGGGACCGUACAACGGCCAACUGCCCAGAGCAAGUCAACUCCUGGAUGAUGUUCAAGUUUUCAGUAGCAAAUUCCACAGAGACUGACACAGGCCACGUGAGCGCUCCUAAGUGUCGGGGCAUGCUAUCUCCAAUUUCACUGACCUCACCUGGAAGAACCGGCUUCCUCUGUCUUCCCUCAUUCCCAAAGAAUUAACCGUCCUUAAACCCUGCAUUGUCCCUGAAGCAGAAGAGGAUGUAUGUCGGGGUGGGGGCAGGGCACAUAGCCUUUUCCUAAAAUUAACCCGGGACCGAGGACCCCGGAGGAGCCCGAGCACGGACUCCCCAGAAGCAUCCGGGUUUGGGCAUUCACGAGAGUGAUGUUCGCGUGGACUUUAAGAAAAGAAACAAAAACCAGUCCCUACCAUUGCGCCCCUGUAGUAGGCCGUUGUGAUCGUCCGAAACCGUUCCUGACCAGCUGUGUCCCUAGAGGAGAAGAAGGGAGAGUGGUGACAGCAAACACCAAUCGUCAUCACCGUGGGAACAACGGGUACUCACCCGGGAUGGACGCGGGUUGUUUCUUAAUUCACUGUCCGACUGUGGGACAGCACCUUUGUCCUCUACUCUUACAGAGGAGGAAACAGUGACUCAGGGGUGUCAAAGACCUGCCCCAUAGGGCAUAAAGUCAUUCCCUCCAAUGACCCCUCUGCUGCACCUCUGUUUCCUGGGGAUUCUUCCCAGAGUUUCCGGCUCACAGAAGAGCCGAGAUCGGAUGUCAGCUGUGAAAAUCCAGGGCCAUGCAGGCAUGGAAGGGGCCGGUCACAUGGCUGGAGGGGUGUACCUUCAUGCUUGCUUGCUGUCUUGGCAGAAGCCAGGGAGCAAGUCUUCCCUCAUUGGUGGAGGGCGACACCUGGGUGAGACACAUCGUGCCCAGCCCAGCUCCUGGCACAGGGGGCAUUCAGUGCUCGGUGUAAAGAUGGCCUGACUGAUUGGUGGCGGGGCCAGGGCAAGCCCCAUGUCUUUUGUCUCUGGAUUCGGGGUUCCUUUCGUGACCCUGCGAGGGCUCUGCAUGGCUGGGCUGCACGGAGGCCCCUCAAUCUGGGGCUCGGCUGGCUUUCUGACACUAACGGCAGGUGACGUUAGUGGUUAGGAACAGUCAUUUCUAUCCUCUGCCAUGGCCUCAGUCUAGAGAAGCGUUAAGAGAGUCACUGACCCCAUCGAGGCUGCUGAGAGCAGAAGUAGGAAGAGAGGAGAAGAGGAAAGUGAAACUUCUGCCAGCUGCCGCCGUGUCACCUCGGACUCCGGGCACUGAGGCUGCUGGGGAGCCACGUGGUAAAGAUGGAGAUGCUUCUAAGGCUUGUAACUUAUGAGGCAGCCAGAGACCAGAGACCAGAGACCAGAGACCAGAGACGGGCAGAUUACCAGCUGACGAGGCAUCAGGCCUCAUCCAGAUUUCCACUCUGGAGUCAGACCAGAGGCGAACACCACGGGAGCCGAGGGGGCGCCCUGGGCAGGCAGAGCGAUGCUCACGCUCUGAGACCCGGGGGAGGGAGACGGGCUGCGGGGAAGGUGGCUUCGUGGCCCCCCUCACGGCACUCCCUCCCACCACAGGUGCUCGCUAGGGCAGGGAGAUUUCGCCACCCUCUCACAUGUGACUUCUCUUUCAUUUCGCUCAAGGCCCGUACUUCCCCGUGGGUGAUGUGGCUGCAGGGCGGGGACUCCCCUUCCAUCUGACCAUCUGAGCUCAGCCUUCCUGGCACUUCCGAGGGGCUACAGACCCCAGGCAGCGCCAGCGACAGGGACUCACAACCUCUCCGAUUUCAUGUAUCAGAAGAAGUCAGCCCCAGCGUGUCCACCAGUGGAUGGGCAGAUAAACAGAACAUGGCCCAUCCGUACUACCACCCGGCCGUGAAAAGGAAUGAAGGCCUGACACACGCCGCGACAACCAAAAACACCUUCCAGAAGCUUCCGCCACCCCCUCGGCCCCAGGAUGAAGUGAGAACAGUUGAGUGUGUGCGCCAAGGUCCUGCCUCGCCUGGCCACCGCGCGGCAAACAGCUCCCACGACUGUUUCCUAAAUAUCCCGCGCGCAGUCUGGACUCAGGGCUCUCGUGCUCGCUCUUCCCUCUCUUGGAAUGUCGCUUCCUUCCAUGACUUCCUGGCUCCCCCGGCCCUUCACUCAGGCCUCUGUUCAAGUCACCUCCCCAGGUGAGCCUUCCUGACCAUCCUCACUCUCUCUCCCCUCGCUUCUUUUCCUUCUUCGGGUGCACACCCUUGACAGUGCAUUUGCUCCACGGAUCUUGGGGUGAAAGUUGUCCAUGGAAAACAGCCCGACCCUGCCUUUACCUCCGCGAGUUUGUUCUACAUCUUUGCCCUCGAAGCCUGGAGGCGGGAGCCUGGCUUGAGCCCUCAGAACUGAUGACAGGAUGUUAAUUCCAUCGCUGCCCACCUCAGGAGCUGUCCAGGGGACCACAGGGAAUAUCAGUCUGCAUCUGAAAUGUGCCCACGAGGACAGAAGCUCCAGGAGAGCAGGGACUCAGACGUCUUACUCAUGGCUGUGUCUCCGGUAACUCAGCAUGGCAGAGGCCAGCUAUGUAUCUGCUAGAAACUGAUCACCCAGUCCCACACACGCACCUAGACUACAGGCCUUGUUACAUUGGUUUCCCUCUGAUUCACCCCAGUCAUUUCUUCAGCCCCUGCAGCCGUGCUGGCACACAGCAGGCGUUGGGGAAAGAUGGCAGGGCGAAAGAAAUAAAAGCCACAGGGUGCCGUGCGGUUUACGAAGCACGUUCACAUCUGCCAUGUGUCUCCCUGAAGGUAUGAGUGAAUGGGGCCCCGAGGAAGCCGUGGGAGCUGAGCCAGGCUGUGAAGAACCAAUUCCGAACUUGGCCGCUGGGCCAAGUUCACACCGCCAGUGAUCGAUGCAGCUUUUGAGAACGGGCUCUGGCAAAACGAAAGCUGGGCAGGAAAUGAACAGCCACUUAAUCCCUGAUCCAUAAAGACAAGCCAGAGGUGUACUCAGUGCCAGUAGAGAAUCACCUUUACACAUUCAGUUGCAUUCCAGGACUAAGCGGCCCAGUGUUGUUCCUUCCUAAAACAGCCCCUACCUCCCGUCCCAGGUCCACAGGGACACGUGAAAUCAAGACGCCCUGUUUAACCGGCAAAGCCCCACAGCAUCACUCUGUCCUAACCUCUUCCUGGGUUUCAUUAACACACCAGAUUUAAUUAGGAAGUGUUAAACUUUACAAGGCUAAGAAUUAUGAGGCCAUCACUUCAAGGUCAGGAUGAAUUAAAUUUGCUCAGAAGACAGAGGCCUACUGGAAAACUACAAAUGUAAUCAGAAUACUGAGGUGGGAGGGAAGGAUUCUGGGUUUAAGUGCCACCUGUACCUCCCUAGACGACCUUGCCCAAGCCAUGUCUUUGUCUGGAAGUGGAGGCCGGCCUCCUCGGAGCCCUAAAGAGCUAGACUGGGUUUCCUGGACAAGAAUGAGAAACCAACAGAAAGAUCCAAUCUCCAAAUUGAUCUCACUAGUGCUUGUGCUGAACAGGGAGUUUCUGACGCUGGGACACUGAGGUCUGGGUGAGAGCAAGCCACAGCCUGCCAGGACGUAACAUCACUUCCUGAUUUAUGGAGAUGCAAACGCUAUCCCAAAGUUGGACCCUGGAGUGGUGGAGGGGGAGGAAUCAGAAACAUCUGGGUCCAGGGAUGAGAUGCUGUCACUGCAGGAGCCAGAAAUUCUGCUUCCUCCAGGCUGCCUCCGGCCACGAUAACAACCUCUUACUCGUUGUACAUUUACGAUCCUCAACCAUCCAGGGCACUGGUCAAGGCAGAGAGCAUCACUCCUAAACUGAAGAAACAGGGCUCAGAGUCUAAGUGCUUGUUCAGGGUCGCCCAGCGGCUGGAAAGCUGGAAUGACCAUUUCCAGUCCAAUUCUCUCAACUGUCAAGUGCAGCUCCUGGAGAGGGGCAGGAAUGGAAUGAGCGGCUCAUGGUGGGGUUCAGGGAGAUAAGGUUAUUGGGCUCGAGUUACACAGGGGUAAAGCAAAGCCUGGUUCCUAGGCUUUCCCCAUUCAGAAUCAACUCCUGGGCUUGCUGACUAUUCUGGAACAAGGCUGCACAGCUCACAGGCCACUCCAUUUGAUUGGUGUUACCUCCAGGUCAAACGUUUUCACACGGGCAAUGGCUGUUUUUGUGACAUGGGGACAAGUCAGCUCCACUUUUGUGGAUAUCAGAACUGAGAAGCAACAAGCCAAUUCUGUUCAACCACAACGUGGGCUGGCUUUGUGGGAAAGGCUGUUCUGCAAAGUGACAACUGGUGUCCCGGGCCUCAAGAUAGGGAAGUCAGCACCGUCUGUGGCAGCGGCUGAUUUUGGUUUCUCACUCAGGUUUUUAUCUGGCAUCUCCUUGGGGAUGACAGGUCCCAGGGCAGGCAGCUGUCAGUCAUCAUUGCUAUCACCUUCUAGUGGGAUGGAAGGUCGGGCAGAGAAAGGCUCCAGACUCUUUCUUGCCAUUCCUUCUAGAAGAAAUUCACCCAUGGGGGAAACAGGGCCAGGGAGAGGGGCUUAACCCCUGAACAUUACAGAGGAAAGAGCAGGAGAGGGCUGGCUCUGGGAUGGAUCAGCCGUGCUUGCCCUGGGGAUGAGUGCUCCCAUCCGGUGGUCCAGUCUUGAUUUUGGGCGUUAGACCCACAAGGAUUCAAAUUCCAUCCUUGCCACCUGCAGACUGUGUGACCUUGGGUGAGUCGCAUGCCUCCUGGAGCCUCAAAUUCCUCAGUGAGGCUCAUAACAGCACCUAACACAAAGGACUGGAGGGUGUAAUAAUGCACAUAAAGGGGCUAGCGCACAGUACAUGCUUAAUAAGGUCAGAUGUCAAAGGCCUCUUCCUACGGCCAACUCCCCAAGCCUGUUUCACUUCUGUAAGACGCCGACCCCAAAACAACAGCUUCGAGGGCUGCUGUGUGGACAGCACGAGAUGACCGGCGCCAAAACCCCAGCCCAAGACCUGUACUUCCUGACGAGCAAGCUGAGAGUUGGGACCUCAGUCUCCCCAUCUGUAAAAUGGGCCCUCGGUUCCUAUCCCCUUCCUCAUAGCCCGGGAACCCCCGAAAAGAGGUGGAAGCGGUUGCUCUUUUCCCCUCCGGUCCCCUCGACCCUCUCUAAUCCCUGGAUCCGUCCGGCCCAGCCGCUCCCUCAGCCCCAGCCCUUCAGGGGCGCGCCCGGCCCGGGCCUCCGGCGUCCCCGGCCGCUCCCCGGCCCCGCUACCUAUGGUGGAGAUGAAAGUUGAGUUGAACGCGUCCUCGGAGAAGCGGAACAGGACACAGGUCUUCCCCACCCCCGAGUCCCCGAUCAGCAGCAGCUUGAACAGGUAAUCGUAGGUCUUCGCCAUAUUACACUCUCUCCCCGACGGGAAGUGCAGCCAGCGCCUCGCCACUGGCCGCUGGUUCCGUCCAUCAGCGCCGAGCCCGCCCCCUAUUGGCUCCCGGCCCGCGGCGCGUCACCCAGGCCGACACCCUCCCCCGCGCCCCGCCCGUCGCGGGGAGACGUGGGGAAGGGGAGAGCAAGGCGCGGUGCCGGAAGCGGCCCGAGCGCGCCGGUCAUUGGUCGGCGCUAGGGACAGGGCGGGCUGCAAUUGGCCAGCGGUGAAGAGUCCAGGGGCUUCAAAUGAAGACCAGGGGGGGGCGGGGCAUCGCGUGUCCCCGCCUUCUGCCCGCCCCCGACUUGGGGGCAGCCACGCCCCCGGGUGGGAGUGGGAGGGCGGGGAACGUCGCCAACGGCUCCGCGCGCCCGCAGUGGGGCGCGUGCGCAUGCGGCCCGGGAGACCGUUGGGUGCCGGCAGAGGGCGCACGCGCGGCGGGUUCUCCGGUUCCCGCCCUCACGGCCCGCGCAGCCUCCGUAGGCUCCGGGAAGAGCGCGGGAAGGGAGUGCGCGGGUGGCGGUGUCGUCUGGAGGGCGCUGCGUCCAUCCAGGGGGAACCGAAGAGGAAAGGAGAGUGGGGACGCUCGUCAUCGUCGAAGCGAGGCCUCUUCGGGACGUCUUCCGGGGUCUCGGCGCCGGCCGGGGGGACUACUCCGCCGCCUGAGCGGCUUCACUGCCACCAGCCGUACCCGCGGGAACUCCUCGCGACGCGCCUUUGGACCUAAUUAGGGACUGUCCAGACCACUGUCUGCCUGCAGUUCCCACCCCCCCCCCGACCCCCCGCCAAGCCUCAGCCGCCAGGGGAGCUAGGGUCGUGAGGAUGCUAGGAACAGUCACAUCGUUGUCCUUUGCCUGCCUGUUGUCGGCACGUACGAAAACUACACCGAAAGUCCUUAAUCCCCACCCUAACCCACUGGGGUCAGUAGUCUGAUUCUGCCUUUUUAUGCUGAGCAAACCGAGGCCAGAGCUUAAGGGACCCUCCCGGGUUCCAGAGGGAAGGUGGCUUUGAGCUGGGACACGCCAGCCUCGGAGGCCUGAGAUCCGGGUGGUGUCCUGCUUGUCAGAGGUGGGCGUUGGGAAGGCGUCUAGACUCACAUAAGGUUCCUGCCCAAGCCGGCCCUGGCCGCCCUUCCUGCCUCCCUCUAGGGCCAGCCCCGCUGAUCUGGCUGCUGGGGGGCGGCGGGGGGCGGGGGAGAGCUUCAAGCAGAGCCGCCGGCCACGUCGGCUUUGGCGUCUGUAACGUUGGGCGCUACCGACCACCUUCCUGGGACUUGGACCGUUCUACUGGCUGGUUUCUUCGGCCGCGACGCCUCCCUUCCCUGCAUGCUGCUGCUCAGAUCCCAUGGCAGUCUUUGGGGUUUCCACAUGCCCCUUAGGAGUUCCUCGCGGUUCUAGGUCUGUUCCGCCCUCUGGGUGAUCUCCUUCAAUACUGUGGCUGCUGAGAUCUCCGCACAGGUGAUUCUUGGAGGAAUCCACAUAGCCCGGCCAUCCUUCUGUGUCCAGCUGCUUUGUGGAUUUGGCAAAGGUACUUUGACAGGUCCACAACCGAACGUGUCAACUUCUAUUCAGACUGGCGUGGCCUGAAUCACCUUCCGAGUGAAACCGAAGCCCGGGUUCUAGUAGUUGUUGAAUCUUGCUCUUCUCUGCACUGGUCUCCUGGAUUAUUCUCGAAUCCAGAUUUCACUCUGUGGUAUGUUUGUUCUAAAACACUUACCCACUACCCGUUGGUGGUCGGUUGGGAUCAAGUCAUUGCCAUCUGGCCUUAACCUAGGUUAUACCUAGGUAUGCCCUAGGUUCCGCAUACACUUCAUGGGAUUGGGAAGCUCCCUGAGACCUGAGAUCAAUUUAACAAACACUGAAUACUUCUGUUGAAUGCGAGACUCCAGAUGGACUAUAACAGUAUCUGCAUUUUAGACUGCAGCCCCAGGGAGUGGGCAGGAGGGAGAGAAGGAACUUCAAUCUAGUGAUGGUAGGGCACCUAGAGAAGGGGAGGAUACUUUAUUCAUUGACAUUCCGUUUCUGCCAUCGAAACAAGCUCACAGCGUCCGCCAAAUGUUGAAUAUGAAGGAAAUGUUUUUAAUUGCACUUAGUGAGCAAAAAAUUGUCUACACACACGAAUGUUUGGCUUUCAAUUCUCUUUGACUCCUUAUCCCAUCAGAUCGUGAGACCAUUAUCAAAGCAAUUCUGGUAAUGAAACUGCAGUCACCUUUGACACUCUCUUCGAGUUACCUGCCAGCCAGUCAGCUGUCUCAAGUCAUCUUCCUCCAGAUCACUUCCUUUUCAUUCCCAGGCAAGCACUAUCUGGGAUUAACAGGAACCACUUCCUAACUGGCCACCCCGCCUCUAGUCUGCCCCCCCAUUCUAGUCCUUCCUGAAAAUGACUAAGUGGAUUUUCCUAAUGUGUUUCUUUGUUGAUUAGUCUUCAGCGGCUCUCCACUCCUGACCAAAUUAAGUUGGGGCUCUCAUCACUGUGGACCAGUUUACCUUCCAACUUUCCUCCUUCCUUCCUUUAUAUACGCAACACACAGAAGCCUUACGCAGGCAGGCCUUGUGCCUUCCUGACUCAAGCAACAGGGAGCAUUUUCCCUGCUCCUGUCUCAUCUAUUAAAAUCCUAGUUAUUCUUCACAGCCUGGCUUAGGCGGGACUGGGUGUAUAACAAAGGACAGGAGCUUUUGAAUUACUGAGGCCAAGUGCUCUCACCUGAAUAUAGAGGUAAUAAUCCUCCUAUCAUGAAGUCACGGUAUAAAGCAAAUAACAUUUGUUAAUCAUCUUGGCACAGUAAUCUUUCCAUCCUACUAACGUUCGCUGAACCAGAAUACCUUGUGUGUCCCCCCACCCCCAAACACAUUCUAAAGUUCACACAAAUGAUAGUUUAUGUAAAAAUUUAUUUGACCAAAAUGUAGAAAAAGUGAUACUAUUACAUAUGAUACAGUUGCAAGAAUCUAAAUGAAAGGUGUGCGUUUUAUUUAAUUGCACAAUUUGCUAGUGUACCUUCUGGGUAGUGUGAUGCUUAAUAAAUAGGAGUGAGGGGCAGAGAAUCUGGAUAAGCUAGAAGCAGGGUGAUUUUGUCAGAAUUGUAAACUUGAGUUGGCCCCCACACUGCUGGGGAAUGUGGAAUGUUUCAGCUCUGAGAUGUUACCCCAGAAAGCAGACAGACAACAAAGCCAAAAUGCAGCUGUGCCUACAAAAUGCUCCAUAUCCAGUUUAAUCAGGAGUUUCUUGGUCUUUCAUUAACUUGGUCCUGAAGAAGGAAUUAAAGUCCUACAUAAGUAAAUCUUCAGUUUGCUAUUCCCGGAAGUAUACAGGAGAGGAAGCGAGGCCCAUUGCUUUAUCUGUACUUUGCUGUCAGAGAGGACCCUUCUGCCCAGUAGUUGUCAGCAUUGCUCAAUUAUUGAUGGCUCGCAGUCUUUUUGAUAGGACUUCUCUGAAUGAGACUGAAUUCUGCCACAUUCAUUCCUGCUAAGCAGAUGGUCUCAGAUCAGAGCAGACAAGCAUGGGUCAUUAUUGGAAUAAGAGAUCUGCUCCUCAGAGAACCUCAGAAUGAAAGAAACCUGUAGAGGAACAUAGGAUCUAUCCAGAAAAUAUCUGGGUACUUAUUACGAUGAUUUCCCAAGCAUUCUCAUACUACCUGCCCAGAGGAUGUUUGUUCUGCAUGGUGGUGUGUGGGAAAGAGCCAGGAUGAUAAGGUUGAUCUAUGGUUUAUGACUUCCCACAAGGCAAGCCCUCUUCCCCCUCCUCCCUUUUUUUAUGCUCUGGAUGGAAAAUCCCUACCCAUUUUAAUGGGAUGGUCCCUGGCUACCUGUCGUGUGACCAACAGUGGCCCAGAAGGCUAUGUAUUCUGCGGCCUUUUAAGUUUACCUGUGACUAGACACUGGAGUUGUUUUUUGAAAGUAAAAGUUUGUCUAUUCUCCCAGGAACCAAACGCCCUCAGUCUCUAUAGGCGUAUGCUCAGUAUGAAAUACCCUGCCUACCUUAUGAAUAAAUGCAACUUAAAGAUAAAAAUAGAGCUGAAAAAG
Long non-coding RNA from Panthera uncia (snow leopard), 13886 nucleotides. RefSeq lists it as uncharacterized. Lineage: Eukaryota; Metazoa; Chordata; Mammalia; Carnivora; Felidae. The transcript has 3 exons. The record is from RefSeq and is a predicted model, not a curated record.